GGUCCGGUGGUGGAACUGGCAUACACGCGAGACUUAAAAUCUCGUGCCGCAAGGCAUGUGGGUUCGAUUCCCACCCGGACCA
RNAcentral lists this transfer RNA (82 nucleotides) under Patescibacteria group bacterium. RNAcentral describes it as "tRNA-Leu". It matches the Rfam family "tRNA". From Rfam's summary of the family: Transfer RNA (tRNA) molecules are approximately 80 nucleotides in length. Their secondary structure includes four short double-helical elements and three loops (D, anti-codon, and T loops). The record is from RNAcentral.